CAUCUAAGGCUAAAUACUGGCACAAGACUGAUAGGCAACAAGUACCCGUAAGGGAAAGUUGAAAAGAACUUUGAAGAGAGAGUUCAAGAGGGCGUGAAACUGUUAAGAUGUGCCUGAGGACGCUGUGAGGCAGGUAGCAGCCCCUGGCGCGCCAGGACCAGGUCUUCUUGGAGUUGGGUUGCUUGGGAAUGCAGCCCAAAGUUGGUGGUAAACUCCAUCUAAGGCUAAAUACUGGCACAAGACUGAUAGGCAACAAGUACCCGUAAGGGAAAGUUGAAAAGAUACUACAGUUAGUAGUUCUGCAAUUUCAUAUAUGAUUUCUUUCAGAACUCCUAGGUGAAUACCAUCUGAUCCUGGUGACAUUAUUGUUUUAAUUUAUCAAUUUGUUCUAAAACUUCCUCUAUUGACAUCUCAGUCUGUGACUGUUCCUCAAAUUUGUCACCUAAAAUGAAUGACUCAGGUGUGGGAAUCUCCCUCACAUCCUCUGCUAAGACCAAUACAAAUAAUUCAUUUAGUUUCUCCGCAAUGGCCUUGUCCUCCUUGAGUGCUCCUUUAGCACCUUGA
RNAcentral lists this non-coding RNA (564 nucleotides) under Chelonia mydas (Green sea turtle). Its description in RNAcentral is "Eukaryotic large subunit ribosomal RNA". It matches the Rfam family "Eukaryotic large subunit ribosomal RNA", at positions 31 to 644 of the family's 3401-position model. Lineage: Eukaryota; Metazoa; Chordata; Testudines; Cheloniidae. The record is from Rfam by way of RNAcentral.